GUACGGAAGGCAGCAGUGGGGAAUUUUGGACAAUGGGGGCAACCCUGAUCCAGCCAUUCCGCGUGAGUGAAGAAGGCCUUCGGGUUGUAAAGCUCUUUCGGCAGGAACGAAAAGGUGUGGGCUAAUACCCUGCAUCAAUGACGGUACCUGAAGAAGAAGCACCGGCUAACUACGUGCCAGCAGCCGCGGUAAUACGUAGGGUGCGAGCGUUAAUCGGAAUUACUGGGCGUAAAGCGUGCGCAGGCGGUUUUGUAAGACAGAUGUGAAAUCCCCGGGCUUAACCUGGGAACUGCGUUUGUGACUGCAAGACUUGAGUGCGGCAGAGGGGGGUGGAAUUCCACGUGUAGCAGUGAAAUGCGUAGAGAUGUGGAGGAACACCGAUGGCGAAGGCAGCCCCCUGGGUCGACACUGACGCUCAUGCACGAAAGCGUGGGUAGCAAACAGGAUUAGAUACCCCGGU
RNAcentral lists this ribosomal RNA (460 nucleotides) under uncultured bacterium. Its description in RNAcentral is "bacterial SSU rRNA". It matches the Rfam family "Bacterial small subunit ribosomal RNA", at positions 339 to 791 of the family's 1533-position model. The record is from RNAcentral.